This 760-nucleotide ribosomal RNA is filed under the name uncultured Glomus. RNAcentral describes it as "SSU rRNA". It matches the Rfam family "Eukaryotic small subunit ribosomal RNA", at positions 328 to 1091 of the family's 1831-position model. Lineage: Eukaryota; Fungi; Glomeromycota; Glomeromycetes; Glomerales; Glomeraceae. The record is from RNAcentral.
GUAGGAUAGAGGCCUACCAUGGUUUUAACGGGUAACGGGGAAUUAGGGUUCGAUUCCGGAGAGGGAGCCUGAGAAACGGCUACCACAUCCAAGGAAGGCAGCAGGCGCGCAAAUUACCCAAUCCCGACACGGGGAGGUAGUGACAAUAAAUAACAAUACGGGGCUCAUUUGGGUCUCGUAAUUGGAAUGAGUACAAUUUAAAUCCCUUAACGAGGAACAAUUGGAGGGCAAGUCUGGUGCCAGCAGCCGCGGUAAUUCCAGCUCCAAUAGCGUAUAUUAAAGUUGUUGCAGUUAAAAAGCUCGUAGUUGAAUUUCGGGGUUAGUAGGUUGGUCAUGCCUCUGGUAUGUACUGGUCUCACUGAUUCCUCCUUCCUGAUGAACCGUAAUGCCAUUAAUUUGGUGUUGCGGGGAAUUUGGACUGUUACUUUGAAAAAAUUAGAGUGUUUAAAGCAAGCUAACGCUUGAAUACAUUAGCAUGGAAUAAUGAAAUAGGACGUUCGAUCCUAUUUUGUUGGUUUCUAGGAUUGACGUAAUGAUUAAUAGGGAUAGUUGGGGGCAUUAGUAUUCAAUUGUCAGAGGUGAAAUUCUUGGAUUUAUUGAAGACUAACUACUGCGAAAGCAUUUGCCAAGGAUGUUUUCAUUAAUCAAGAACGAAAGUUAGGGGAUCGAAGACGAUCAGAUACCGUCGUANUCUUAACCAUAAAUUAUGCCGACUAUGGAUCGGAUGAGUUAAUUUUUUAUGACUCAUUCGGCGCCUUAC